Molecule: ribosomal RNA, 261 nt
Filed under: uncultured bacterium
Lineage: Bacteria
Description: partial 16S ribosomal RNA
Rfam family: Bacterial small subunit ribosomal RNA
Source: RNAcentral
GUCCACACGGUAAACGAUGAAUACUCGCUGUUUGCGAUAUACUGCAAGCGGCCAAGCGAAAGCGUUAAGUAUUCCACCUGGGGAGUACGCCGGCAACGGUGAAACUCAAAAGGAAUUGACGGGGGCCCGCACAAGCGGAGGAACAUGUGGUUUAAUUCGAUGAUACGCGAGGAACCUUACCCGGGCUUAAAUUGCAGAUGAAUUACGGUGAAAAGUCGUAAAGCCGCAAGGCAUCUGUGAAAGGUGCUGCAUGGUUGUCGU